This 224-nucleotide long non-coding RNA is filed under the name Elaeis guineensis (African oil palm). Its description in RNAcentral is "long non-coding RNA (EGUI_LNC065015)". The record is from RNAcentral. Lineage: Eukaryota; Viridiplantae; Streptophyta; Magnoliopsida; Arecales; Arecaceae.
AGGGGUAAACUCUAUACCAGGAUAACCUUAUAUCAGUAUAAAAUUGAUUUUAAAUCAUUAAAACUUUUAGAUCUAAUAGAAAAAUCAUAUCAUAUGUGUUUUUAAAAACUUAGCUCUGAUAUUACUAUUAGAAAAUCAGGUAGACAGCAUGUGUAGAUUUUAAAAUUAUUUAAAAAAUACAGUGAAAAAUAAAACAGAUUAAAUCUUUUAACCCCACAUGCAAA